This 637-nucleotide ribosomal RNA is filed under the name uncultured bacterium. Its description in RNAcentral is "bacterial SSU rRNA". It matches the Rfam family "Bacterial small subunit ribosomal RNA", at positions 607 to 1244 of the family's 1533-position model. The record is from RNAcentral.
GCUUAACCGGAGAAGUGCAUCGGAAACUGGGAGACUUGAGUGCAGAAGAGGACAGUGGAACUCCAUGUGUAGCGGUGGAAUGCGUAGAUAUAUGGAAGAACACCAGUGGCGAAGGCGGCUGUCUAGUCUGUAACUGACGCUGAGGCUCGAAAGCAUGGGUAGCAAACAGGAUUAGAUACCCUGGUAGUCCAUGCCGUAAACGAUGAGUGCUAGGUGUUGGAGGGUUUCCGCCCUUCAGUGCCGCAGCUAACGCAUUAAGCACUCCGCCUGGGGAGUACGACCGCAAGGUUGAAACUCAAAGGAAUUGACGGGGGCCCGCACAAGCGGUGGAGCAUGUGGUUUAAUUCGAAGCUACGCGAAGAACCUUACCAGGUCUUGACAUCUUCUGCCAAUCUUAGAGAUAAGACGUUCCCUUCGGGGACAGAAUGACAGGUGGUGCAUGGUUGUCGUCAGCUCGUGUCGUGAGAUGUUGGGUUAAGUCCCGCAACGAGCGCAACCCUUAUUAUCAGUUGCCAGCAUUAAGUUGGGCACUCUGGUGAGACUGCCGGUGACAAACCGGAGGAAGGUGGGGAUGACGUCAAAUCUUCAUGCCCCUUAUGACCUGGGCUACACACGUGCUACAAUGGACGGUACAACG